Molecule: long non-coding RNA, 354 nt
Organism: Equus quagga
Lineage: Eukaryota; Metazoa; Chordata; Mammalia; Perissodactyla; Equidae
Exons: 4
Source: RefSeq, a predicted model, not a curated record
GGGCCUGGCGGGAGCGUUCGGAACCCCGGGAAGCAGAAAGGAGUGCUCCGCGUUUCCCGCGCGGGUUCUCCCGCCUCGGCUCUGAGCGGACUGGAGGGGGAGCUGUUGCUGCUGUGGAAAGAAUGCAUUAGGGAAAGACCAGCAUAGAAGCAGGAGACCAGUUGGGAGGCUGAUGCAGUGGUCCAGGCUUUGUGUAAGGUGCUGUGGUUACCAAGGUGAAUACCCCUAUCUGGUAGGGAAGGUGGAUGUGAACAUACGCAAAGACCGUGUGCGGCGGGGUCAGCGCUGUGACAGAGGCUGUUUUUUGGUGAGGAAGAUUGGCCCUAAGCUAACAUCUUUUCCAAUCUUCCUGUU